This 450-nucleotide ribosomal RNA is filed under the name uncultured bacterium. RNAcentral's name for it is "partial 16S ribosomal RNA". It matches the Rfam family "Bacterial small subunit ribosomal RNA", at positions 338 to 795 of the family's 1533-position model. The record is from RNAcentral.
CCUACGGGGGGCUGCAGUAAGGAAUAUUGGUCAAUGGACGAAAGUCUGAACCAGCCAUCCCGCGUGCAGGAUGAAAGCCCUAUGGGUUGUAAACUGCUUUUAGCAGAGAAGAAAAGCUUUCAUUAAUGAGAGUCUGACGGUAUCUGCAGAAUAAGCACCGGCUAACUCCGUGCCAGCCGCCGCGGUAAUACGGAGGGUGCGGGCGUUAUCCGGAAUUACUGGGUUUAAGGGGUAGGUAGACGUAGUAGUUGAAAGCUUGUCGCUUAACGAUAAAAGUGCCAAUGAGACUGGUACUCUGGAAUGGGGUGGAGGUUAGCGGAAUGUGACAUGUAGCGGUGAAAUGCAUAGAUAUGUCAGGGAACACCAAUUGCGAAGGCAGCUAACUGGGCCUUGAUUGACGCUGAGGCACGAAAGCGUGGGUAGCGAACAGGAUUAGAUACCCCUGUAGUC